AAGGAUGUCAACACAUUCACUCUUGUUUAUGGCCUCCUCUGCUUUCCUCCCAUCAUCCCCCCUCAAUCCCCAGUCUUGAGGAUCCAUGACAAAGCUAAAGUAUACCCUUCAGUUCUUUCAAGGUUAUAGUCUGUUAAAGAAACGAGGAAACACGGGGAGGGAAGAGAGAAAAAGUCUGUCCUCCUUGAACAAAAGAGCCUCUCAAAGAACCAAUACACAAGUUCAACAAAUCUAAUCCUAACCUAAUGUUUAGGAGCGUUUUCCCAAUCCAACCCUGUGGCCAACAAGAAAGCAUGGUACAAAGCUAAACAUACUGAACUCCCUCAACCAUUCCUCAAAGGCUUGGAUCCAGACACUUGACCAUCUUGAUCACCCUUCUCUGCACAAGUUCCAGCUUGUCAACAUCCUUAUUCAAUUGUGGAGCCCAGAACUGGACACAGGACUCCAGUCUCUCUCUCAUUUAGAAGCAGCUGGUCUGAUAAGUAUGACUCUUUGAGCAACUUACGACACAGGGUUGAUGGUACCGAAGGGUUAAGGAAUGAUUUUCAUGACAUAUAUGGACACAUUACGUUUUGCUUAUAACAUUAAUAAUGCGGUAUUAAAAUGUGACACCAGAGGGCACUGCAGAGCAACCA
Podarcis raffonei (Aeolian wall lizard) is the source of this 635-nucleotide long non-coding RNA. RefSeq lists it as uncharacterized. The record is from RefSeq and is a predicted model, not a curated record. The transcript has 4 exons. Lineage: Eukaryota; Metazoa; Chordata; Lepidosauria; Squamata; Lacertidae.